UUUAAAAUAGUGCAAGUCAAGAUUGUAGUUAUUUCACUACCAAGUUGGGUGACAAUAUAUGCUAAAUCAUAUCAAUAUAUAUACAUCAUACAGCAUCUGACUAUAUAUAUAUAUAU
Molecule: long non-coding RNA, 116 nt
Organism: Ipomoea nil (Japanese morning glory)
Lineage: Eukaryota; Viridiplantae; Streptophyta; Magnoliopsida; Solanales; Convolvulaceae
Exons: 3
Source: RefSeq, a predicted model, not a curated record